UACAGAGGGUGCGAGCGUUUGUCCGGAAUCACUGGGCGUAAAGGGCGCGUAGGCGGUCUGCUAAGCGUGUGGUGAAAGCUCGGGGCUCAACCCCGCGUCGGCCAUGCGAACUGGUGGACUGGAGCUUGUCAGAGGCAGGCGGAAUUCCGGGUGUAGCGGUGGAAUGCGUAGAGAUCCGGAAGAACACCGGUGGCGAAGGCGGCCUGCUGGGACAAUGCUGACGCUGAGGCGCGACAGCGUGGGGGAGCAAACAGG
RNAcentral lists this ribosomal RNA (255 nucleotides) under uncultured bacterium. Its description in RNAcentral is "partial 16S ribosomal RNA". It matches the Rfam family "Bacterial small subunit ribosomal RNA", at positions 524 to 776 of the family's 1533-position model. The record is from RNAcentral.